GCCGUGCCCUCUCCUGCCCGUGAUUGGAGGUCCGCGUCCCGCUGUUUGAGGGAGAAACAGUCUUCCGCCGAGCUGCCGGACCCCGCGGCGAGGGGAGCGGAGGAGAAGUAAUUAGUGGUGAAGGACCUUACCCACCUGAACAUCUUUUAAAGGCUUACACAUGGCUAUAUAAAGAGACCAUCAGACCACAGCCAAGGGUGUUGGUCUCCACUAUACAACCACAGUGAGAGAUAAAGUGGAUCUGCAGACACAUUUUGUAUGCCUAAGGUAAGUCUUUCUCAAAUAUGUAAAACUGUUCAUAUUGUUUCAGACCACAUUGUUGCCACUUCUCCAUUUUUUUCAGAGCUGUUGAGACAUUUGUCUCCAUUCAGCACGAAUGUGGUAGAACACUAAAUCAGACUCUGGCCCUCUCUUACUGCAAAUACGUAUGUUCUGAAAAGCAUGUUGUAAGACAGGGAAAAUGCAAAGGGUGUAUCAUUCUGUGUACAUUAUUGAUAUGUAUCACUAUAUGAGGAGGCUAGAGGUUGGUAUCAGAUGUCUUCCUCUGUGUCUACUUUUUAUGUAAAAUCACAUUUAUUUAUUUUAUUCCUGGGCUCACACGUAUAGGCAAGUACAUGGUACAGCGUGCCUUUGGAAGACAGAAGAUAACUUGUGCAUGUCAGUUCUCUUUCCACAAGGUGGGUUCCAGGACCUGAACUCAGGCCAUUUCAUUCAUCAGGUGUGGUGACAAGUGCCUUAUCUACAGGUACAGGUACAGAUACAGCCCCUCUUAGUUUUAAAUUUUAGUGUGCAUGUGUGUGUGUUGUGUUCAUGAUGGGGGGAGCAUGUGGCAUUUCACCGUGGAGGUCAGAAGACAACUUUGUGGAGUCGGUUAUCUCCUGCCUUGAUGUGGGAGCUGAGUAUCAAACUCAGGUCAUCAGCCUUAUGCAGCAAGCAGUUUUACCUGCUGAGCCAUCUCCAGAGACAAGAAUGGGUUAUUCUUAUGCAUUUUGACUCCAUUUAUUACAGUUGCUUGUGGGGUAUUUUGGUUACAGGUGCUUUGUUUUAUAAAUGGUUUUAAUGUAGCAUUUGAAAAAAUAUGGAACAAAGAUCUAAUCUGGCCAGAUUAUAGUAAGUUUUUGAACUAAAUUUGAGGUUUUAAAUAAGGACUAAAAUUAUAUGCCUAGAGUGAAAAUUUUAAUUACUAAGGGAGCUUAAAUUUGAAAAAGGACUAGUGUAGAAAAGGGGAGGCUUUCUGCUUGUAUCCUGAAAGUCUCAAUCAGAUUAGAGCAGGUUAGAGCGUUGUCUCACCUGAUGUACUGAACACAUCUUUAGACUGGGAUCAUUUUCCUUAUCUUCUUAUACACAGGAUUUAUGGUAAACCCCGUGUAUUUACUAUAUUUUAUAGCAUGAGGCAUAGAUUGAGUGUAGUGAAUAAAAUAAUGGAAAUUUAAAAAUACAAUUUUAGUUCUCCUUUAAUAUCCAAUCUUUUAUUAAGAAGGAUAAAGAUGAAAUAUCUAGGAAAUCUCUCCAACUUCUACUCCAGACAGUGAAUGUUAAUGAACUUCCUCAUUUUCUGGUCAACUUCCCUUUAUUCUUAAUAUAAAUAAAUCCCCUACGAUCCACUUCGCUCCCCACCUUUUUUAUUUUCCCCUCCCCUUUUUCUUUUCUUUUUGUUCAUUAGGGCUGGCUUUGAACUGGCAGGAACUCCUGACCUCAGCUUUCUGACUGCUGGGAUGAUUUCAACAACAUAAACAAAUUCCUUAGUGUUUUAUUUUUUCCUAACAUCUCAAACAUUCUUUUUCUUGUCUUUGGGAAACUUGCAGGAAAUGUUUGUCUGACAUCAUACUUUAGCCUAUUGGUUUAAAAAAAAGUAGUUGAAAUUAUGCCAAUAUUAGUGCUAAUUUUAACCAUGCUUUGUCUACUUUUGGACAUAAGUACCUCUAGAGAAAUUGAAGUAAGAAGAAAAUCCUGUUCCUGCCCUAUUUUGAAGAAGCAGAUACUGCAGAAAGGAAUACAAAGCAUGGUCUGGUUUUGCCUUUAGAAGAUGAGGCCUCAGCUGUGCCUGGGAAACUGAAAACAAACCUGACCACAUGUUUGGCUUCAUUACAAUAAGGAACAAAUUCACUGAAGCACAACAAAAGGAAACUUUCAGGAGCCAAAAGAUUUCCUAAAGAAUUGAGGCACAGGGAAGAGGUUAAUAAACAGAAGCAAAAAAAAGGGAAGUUUAAAAUUAGGAACUAGAGUUCUUUUUAAAAGUUACAAAUAUAAAUUAUCAAAGAAUUAUUACUAAACCCCACGUACAUGUCUUUGACAAGUUAAUUGCAAUCACAGGCCAGAGUACAAAAAAUAAUUAUUAACCUGAAUGGUAGCAAGGGUACAUGUUCUUCUAACAAUUAACCUCUACCCCUAGCCAAGUUCUACCAAGUCCAUAAUGCAGGCUAUACUUCAGGUUAAGGGGCUAGGCUAUUAUUUACUAGGUCAAACAAUAAUUAAACACUCUUAGAUGCACAGAAGCAUUGUAGAUCUUUACCCCUACCUCAUUGAGAGGGUAGGAGGAAGUAGCUGGAGACCUGAGGCCAGUGCAGCAGUCCCAGCAACAGAUGGCAAUCAGAGGGGACUUGCAGGCUACUGCAAAGGAUCCAAUACUGGAAGCACUAAAGAUUUUUGUGCUGAGAAGACUUGUUGGGAGGAUUCAGCAGAUCAAUGGUUGCUAUAUCAAAAACAAACAAACAAACAGUAUAAAGGGGUAGGCAAAGGCAGAAGCAAGAAGGGUAAAGAAGCUACUGUUAUAGUCUAGGUAAGAGAUGAAUGAAUUUUCUGUUCAUGUGCUAACUGAGGCUGGUGAAAACACUGUGAUGCUGGGUUUAUUCGAAACUAUACCUGGCAAACUGGGGACAGAGUACUUUUGAGACAUUUUAAUAACUUGUGUUUCUGACAACAUGUUUUGAGUUGAGGCAUUUCUGGUGAAUAAGACCUUUCACGUUGAUCGUUUUACAGUUCACACUACCUGAUAUGGAACAUGCUAUAUUAUCACUACUAUGUAGAAACUGUUUAAUAAAUAUUAGGGAAGGAGGUGGCUUGGUGGGUAAAGUGCUUUCCACACCAGUGUGAAGAUCUGAGUUCAAAUUCCUCAAACCCACUUAAAAAGCGGGUGUGGUAGAACACAUCUAUAAUUCCAGCAUCUCUGUGGUGAGAAGGGAAGUAGAGAUGGGUGAGUCCUUGGAAGCUCAUGGACCUAUAACCCUGGACACUUUGUUUUCAACAAGGUGCAAGGUGAGGAUCCACACUAAGGUUGUCCUCUGGCCUCCGCAUGUACACCACAGCAUGCUUGAGCCACAAAUUUUGAUUGCCAGCUAUGCCCAAGUCAUGGUAGACUAGAGUUUACAAAGACAAUUAGUGUUAAAUAAGGUGAGGAUAGUGUCCUAAAUACAGACCUGGAGGCCUUACAAGAGGUACAAGCAGUCACACUGCCUGAAAUUUGUUUAAAAACAAGAACAACUUCAGAAAGGAACUUUGAUUUUGAACUUCCCAGGGCUCCAGAAGGGGAGUAUGAACUUCUUAAAGCCGCCCAGUCUGUAGGAUUUUGCUAUGGUCAUUCCAGCUAAUUUUGUUAGGAAAACGUCAUUUAAUCUACAGCAACACAGUCUUUAAUUGGCCACGUUAACACAAAAAAAUCCAAGAAUGUUUAAUCAUAAUUUCACAUUGAGGUCACAUUGUCUAGCCACAAAGUUCACAAACAGUAGUCACUGAUUUUACAUAUUUAGCUAUUCCUUAAGUUCCAUUCAGAGCCAUGAGGUCCUGGGCUCUGGGGAGCAAUGUGUGGUGAUAUGACAGUCAGCAGUCUCUCCAAAAAGGCCUUUCAUAUAGAACGCGACAUUAAGAAUAACAUGUUGUGUGUGUGCGCGUAUGACUCAAGAUGAGAAAAAAGGAAAUACAACAAUUAGCUUGUCUAUCAGUUAUUGAUAUGAUUUGAUUAUGUUGGAUUAAAUUGAGUUAAAAUUAA
Molecule: long non-coding RNA, 3985 nt
Organism: Meriones unguiculatus (Mongolian gerbil)
Lineage: Eukaryota; Metazoa; Chordata; Mammalia; Rodentia; Muridae
Exons: 2
Source: RefSeq, a predicted model, not a curated record